AGUGGUUUGUUUUCCAACAGACCAGCACACACUGCCAGUGGCCAGAGUUUUGUCUCGUCUUCAUCCAGAGGAGGAUUAAUCUUGGUGAUGGUGCAAACAAAAUGUGGCGAGGUCUGCUCAGAGAACAACCUGAAGUUCCCAGAGUGAAAUCAGAAUGGUCGGUUCGGCUGUGAUUGGCGAAUCAAGCCUGGUAAACAACUGUGGAACUUCAAAAACAAUGGCUGCCCAGUUCAUGCUCCAAACUGAUUGAAUAUGAAUAGUUGUGUGAUCUUAAUGGGUAGCUUCGGUGAGAAUCACUGCAAUAAAGAUUAACUGUUUAUCAUUCAUUAUUAGCUUGUUAUUAACAUUAAUACUGUAAAACAUAUUAAACCUUUUCUCUGAGGAAAGUCUAGGGAGAACAUAAAUGGGACCAUGGAUUUUAUCAGACCUUUCUUUAUACUUGCUAUUAUGAUGUUUGGGGAC
Molecule: non-coding RNA, 462 nt
Organism: Heterocephalus glaber (naked mole-rat)
Lineage: Eukaryota; Metazoa; Chordata; Mammalia; Rodentia; Bathyergidae
Source: RefSeq, a predicted model, not a curated record